Molecule: ribosomal RNA, 305 nt
Filed under: uncultured bacterium
Lineage: Bacteria
Description: bacterial SSU rRNA
Rfam family: Bacterial small subunit ribosomal RNA
Source: RNAcentral
AGUAACCUACGGGAGGCAGCAGUGGUGAAUAUUGCACAAUGGGCGAAAGCCUGAUGCAGCAACGCCGCGUGAAGGAAGAAGGGUUUCGGCUCGUAAACUUCUAUCAACAGGGACGAAAGAAAUGACGGUACCUGAAUAAGAAGCCCCGGCUAACUACGUGCCAGCAGCCGCGGGAAUACGUAGGGGGCAAGCGUUAUCCGGAAUUACUGGGUGUAAAGGGUGAGUAGGGGGCAUGGGAAGCCAGAUGUGAAAGCCUUGGGCUUAACCCGAGGAUUGCAUUUGGAACUAUCAAGCUAGAGUACAGG